CCUACGGGGGGCAGCAGUGAGGAAUAUUGGUCAAUGGGCGCGAGCCUGAACCAGCCAAGUCGCGUGAAGGAUGACUGCCCUACGGGUUGUAAACUUCUUUUAUAAAGGAAUAAAGUGAGGCACGUGUGCCUUUUUGUAUGUACUUUAUCAAUAAGGAUCGGCUAACUCCGUGCCAGCAGCCGCGGUAAUACGGAGGAUCCGAGCGUUAUCCGGAUUUAUUGGGUUUAAAGGGAGCGUAGAUGGGUUGUUAAGUCAGUUGUGAAAGUCUGCGGCUCAACCGUAAAAUUGCAAUUGAUACUGGCAGGCUUGAGUACAGUUGAGGUAGGCGGAAUUCGUGGUGUAGCGGUGAAAUGCUUAGAUAUCACGAAGAACACCGAUUGCGAAGGCAGCCUACUAGACUGCCACUGACAUUGAUGCUCGAAAGUGUGGGUAUCAAACAAGAUUAGAUACCCGGGUAGUC
This 460-nucleotide ribosomal RNA is filed under the name uncultured bacterium. RNAcentral's name for it is "partial 16S ribosomal RNA". It matches the Rfam family "Bacterial small subunit ribosomal RNA", at positions 338 to 795 of the family's 1533-position model. The record is from RNAcentral.